RNAcentral lists this ribosomal RNA (434 nucleotides) under uncultured Lachnospiraceae bacterium. Its description in RNAcentral is "bacterial SSU rRNA". It matches the Rfam family "Bacterial small subunit ribosomal RNA", at positions 341 to 792 of the family's 1533-position model. The record is from RNAcentral. Lineage: Bacteria; Bacillati; Bacillota; Clostridia; Lachnospirales; Lachnospiraceae.
ACGGAAGGCAGCAGUGGGGAAUAUUGCACAAUGGGGGAAACCCUGAUGCAGCGACGCCGCGUGAGUGAAGGAGUUAUUCGUAAUGUAAAGCUCUAUCAGCAGGGAAGAAAAUGACGGUACCUGACUAAGAAGCCCCGGCUAACUACGUGCCAGCAGCCGCGGUAAUACGUAGGGGGCAAGCGUUAUCCGGAUUUACUGGGUGUAAAGGGAGCGUAGACGGUCUGGCAAGUCUGAUGUGAAAGGCAGGGGCUCAACUCCUGGACUGCAUUGGAAACUGUCAGUCUUGAGUGUCGGAGAGGUAAGCGGAAUUCCUAGUGUAGCGGUGAAAUGCGUAGAUAUUAGGAGGAACACCAGUGGCGAAGGCGGCUUACUGGACGAUAACUGACGUUGGGGCUCGAAAGCGUGGGGAGCAAACAGGAUUAGAUACCCUGGUA